This is a long non-coding RNA of Pseudoliparis swirei, 1046 nucleotides long. RefSeq lists it as uncharacterized. Lineage: Eukaryota; Metazoa; Chordata; Actinopteri; Perciformes; Liparidae. The transcript is spliced from 2 exons. The record is from RefSeq and is a predicted model, not a curated record.
UUAGAAAUAAAAUGAAAUGCUGGCGAAAGGGCUCCUCCUCUUCCGCUACGUCGCCAAGAUGGCGGCCGCUUAGUGCGAGUAGUGUCCAUCGUUUUAUACUACGGCUGUGUCUACUACCGCGCACUUGAGCACUUCGAGCACUGACUUUCAGUGCUCGAAGUGCGCCACACUGACAAAACCAGCAAAAUGCAGUGCACUGAAAGUACCCGGAUGGUGCACUGCAAACGGGCAAAACAUGUAAAACGAUGGACACUACUCGCCCUAAGCGGCCGCCAUCUUGGCGACGUACCGGAAGAGGAGGAGCCCUUUCGCCAGCUUUUCAUUUUAUUUCUAAAACAAUGGCGGACAGCACAAGCGGUAGACCACGAAGCUACAGACCGUAAAUAGACGUUUCCUGGAGGUGCUGCUGGUCCUCUGCUGCCCUCCCGACAUCUGGCUCCAAUGACCUCUGGCACCUCACAUCCACCUCCAGGGCCUUUAAGAAGAUGGACCGCCAUCGCGUCUUCAGUAUCCAGAAGGACCUCUCCACAACACAACACACCUCGCCUUUGACAGGCAGCAGUUGUAGCUUGGAGGUGGACAGGCUGCCUGAAGGGGGUCAUGAGGCAGAUGGGUUGGGACAGGCAGGGGGAGCCACCAUCCCCAAGGAUACAGUAUCCUGGUGGAGGGGAUGACUGCUCAUAGAAGAUGGGGCUGUUAUUCAGGACCCUGGCAUCAUGCACUGAGCCCGGGGCCUGUCGAAGGCCCUGGCCACCACCCGAUAGGAGGUGGCCCUGGCAAGCCAAAAAAUAAAAACUAGACGGGAGAUCUCGGGGCCCCAACCGUGGUCAGUCAGUGCCCAGCACAGCCAUGAGGGCGUUGAAUGACUCGGUGAGCCUGAAGUCCACCCUCAUGUCACUGUGGCCAUCACAACACAACGCCAGCAGUGGCAUUGCAACAUGGAUACGGCAGCGCCGCCUGGGACUGGGUGGCUGCUGUAGAGUGUGGGAGGGGAAGGGAAGAUUAUAUUAAUAUGAAAGUCAUUUUAUCAAUAAAAUGUUGUCAUU